UGAAACCGUCAUUUGGGGAUUUUGGGGGGGUCUUGAAACCACCAAUCAGGUGUUUUGGGGUGCCCCAAAAAUAUCUGUUAGGACUGGGCCCCAAAAAUGGUAUUUAGGACUUUUGGGGUGCCCUGAAACUGUCAAUUAGGAACUUUGGGGUGCCUUGAAACCGUCAUUUGGGGAUUUCGGGCGGUCUUGAAACCACCAAUCGGGUGUUUUGGGGUGCCCCCAAAAAUGUUAGUUAGGACUGGGCCCCAAAAAUGGUAUUAAGAUUUUUUUGGGGUGCCUUGAAACCGCCAAUUAGGAACUUUGGGGUGCCUUGAAACCGUCAUUUGGGGAUUUCGGGCGGUCUUGAAACCACCAAUCGGGUGUUUUGGGGGGGUCUUGAAACCACCAAUUGGGUGUUUUGGGGUGCCCCAAAAAUAUCUGUUAGGACUGGGCCCCAAAAAUGGUAUUUAGGAAUUUUGGGGUGCCCUGAAACCGCCAGUGUCUCCUGGAUCUAUGGGGGUGCCUUGAAACCACCAAUUUCUCCAUGGACCUAUGGGGAGCCCCGAAACCGCCAAUACAUUCAAAGAUCUAUGGGGUACCCCAAAACCAUGAUAGACCUAUGGGGUGCCUCGAAACCACCAAUUUCACCAUGGACCUAUGGGGUACCCCGAAACCACUGGUGUCUCCUGGACCUUUGGGGGUGCCUUGAAACCCCCAAUUUCUCUGUGGACUUAUGGGGUACCCCAAAACUGCUGGUGUCUCCUGGACCUAUGGGGUGCCUUGAAACCCCCAAUUUCUCUGUGGACCUAUGGGGUACCCCGAAACCACCGGUGUCUCCUGGAUCUAUGGGGGUGCCUCGAAACCCCCAAUUUCUCCAUGGACCUAUGGGGAGCCCCAAAACCCCCAAUACAUUCAAAGAUCUAUGGGGUACCCCAA
This 915-nucleotide long non-coding RNA is filed under the name Anas zonorhyncha (Eastern spot-billed duck). Its description in RNAcentral is "lncRNA (ENSAZOG00000008510.1)". Lineage: Eukaryota; Metazoa; Chordata; Aves; Anseriformes; Anatidae. The record is from RNAcentral.